RNA transcript from Balaenoptera musculus (blue whale), 670 nucleotides. It is a transcript of the gene named RNA binding motif protein X-linked 2, with no coding region annotated. The transcript has 6 exons. NCBI's taxonomy places the organism in Eukaryota, Metazoa, Chordata, Mammalia, Artiodactyla, Balaenopteridae. The record is from RefSeq and is a predicted model, not a curated record.
CCCGGAAGUCGCUUCCUAGGUUUUGAGCGUGAAGUCGGUUCCUGGCUUCUGAGUGUGAACCCGCAGAGAUGAACCCUUUAACUAAAGUUAAGCUGAUCAACGAGCUGAAUGAGCGUGAGGUCCAGCUGGGGGUAGCGGAGAAGGUGUCUUGGCACUCCGAGUACAAGGACAGCGCCUGGAUCUUCUUGGGAGGGCUUCCUUAUGAGCUGACUGAAGGGGACAUCAUCUGUGUGUUCUCACAGUUGGAGGCGAAUGGGAAGCCAAUAUUCUCUAAUUCCAGGCCAGAAGUGAACCAGAAGGUAAGAAUCAAACAGGAAAAAGAGGGAGAAGAUAUUUAAUCUGAAAACAGAUACACCUCCAGGGAGAGAAGGGCUAGAUGACUGCUAGAAGGAAGAAGAUGGAAACCCUAAACUAAGUAAUGCAUAUUCAAUAUAAGACACUUGGACAACAGAACAACACAGAAAAGAAAUCCCUCUGUGUCUAUCUACCAUCUGGAGACAAGCACUGCAAACAAUUUGGUAUCACCCCUUUCUUUGCACGUAUCCACAAACGUAUAUACAUAUAUAUUUACAUAUUUUAAACAAAACUUACAUCAUGUUGUGCAGAUAUGAAAUAGACUGCUUUUCUCACUUAACAAUAAACGUAUCAUGAAUAUUUCUGAAAUUGACAU